AUGAUACCAAUAAUUCGGCGGGAUCUCGCAAGGAGCCGCGUCGGGAACAAUGAAUGCCCUGAUUUGGAACUGCCGGGGGCGGGGAACCGUCGGACAGUUCGUAAGGUGUUGGCCCUCGCUAAAACCAACAUCCCCAAGCUUGUCUUUCUGUGUGAAACUAGGCAAGCUAGUAUGAAGAUGGAGAAGUUAAGAUGGAGAUUUGGGCUGAAGGGUUUCUAUGGAGUGUGUAGUUCAGGACCGAGUGGUGGUAUUGCACUUUACUGGGAUGAAGCUUUGUUGGUCACUGUUCUGGAUGCAUGUCAAAGAUAUAUUGAUGUUAUGGUGGAGGACAAAAGUUCUGAUAAGAGGUGGUGUAUGACUUUUGUGUAUGGCGAACCAAGGGUGGAGAAUAGGCAAAUUAUGUGGGAUCAUCUGACACGCUUGAGAGGGGUCUCGCAGGAACCGUGGCUUGUGUGUGGUGAUUUCAACGAAGCCUUGUGGCAACAUGAGCAUAUGUCCAGAACGUUGCGAUCUGAAUCUCGAAUGGCUGCAUUUCGAGACUGCUUAAUGUUGUGUGAAUUGGAAGACCUGGGUUUCUCGGGAGUUCCUUUCACAUACGACAAUGCCAGUAUGGAAAUAAUAAUGUUCGGGUCCGGUUAG
Molecule: ribosomal RNA, 639 nt
Filed under: Triticum aestivum (bread wheat)
Lineage: Eukaryota; Viridiplantae; Streptophyta; Magnoliopsida; Poales; Poaceae
Description: partial small subunit ribosomal RNA
Source: RNAcentral